UCCGAGCAACGGUGCUUCGGAGCUCCAAACUCGGGCUGCCGGGGCAAGUGUCUUCAUGAACCCAGAGGAUGUCCGGGAAGCACUACAAGGGUCCUGAAGUCAGUUGUUGCAUCAAAUACUUCAUAUUUGGCUUCAAUGUCAUAUUUUGGUUUUUGGGAAUAACAUUUCUUGGAAUUGGACUGUGGGCAUGGAAUGAAAAAGGAGUUCUGUCCAACAUCUCUUCCAUCACCGAUCUCGGCGGCUUUGACCCAGUUUGGCUCUUCCUUGUGGUGGGAGGAGUGAUGUUCAUUUUGGGAUUUGCAGGGUGCAUUGGAGCGCUACGGGAAAACACUUUCCUUCUCAAGUUUGUAAGUAUUCCACUCUCUACUCUCAGAUUGAGAGCCAAAACUUUACCUUCCAUCAGGAGGUCACCCUAUCUACAGGCAAGACAGUGAGCUGUACCAAAGGCACUGGCCAAAGUAGGGCCCAGGUCAUUAUUUUCUUUUGAGAGAGCUCUCUAGCCCUGAUUCCCAGUUGUGCCUCCUUAAUAAGUACACCACC
RNAcentral lists this small RNA (540 nucleotides) under Pan troglodytes (chimpanzee). RNAcentral's name for it is "retained intron". The record is from RNAcentral. Lineage: Eukaryota; Metazoa; Chordata; Mammalia; Primates; Hominidae.